AUUGAACGCUGGCGGCAGGCCUAACCCAUGCAAGUCGUGCGGAGCGGCGGACGGGUGAGUAAUGCCUAGGCAUCUGCCUGGUAGUGGGGGAUAACGUCCGGAAACGGGCGCUAAUUCCGCAUACUAUCCGAUGAGCCUAGGUCGGAUUAGCUAGAUGGUGGGGUAAAGGCCUACCAGGGCGACGACCCGUAACUGGUCUGAGAGGAUGAUCAGUCACACUGGAACUGAGACACGGUCCAGACUCCUACGGGAGGCAUCAGUGGGGAAUAUGGGACAACGGGCGAAAGCCUGAGCCAGCCAUGCCGCGUGGGUGAAGAAGGUCUUCGGAUUGUAAAGCACUUUAAGUAGGGAGGCGUUACCAACAGAAUAAGCACGGGCUAACUUCGUGCCAGCAGCCGCGGUAAUUG
Molecule: ribosomal RNA, 407 nt
Filed under: uncultured bacterium
Lineage: Bacteria
Description: partial 16S ribosomal RNA
Rfam family: Bacterial small subunit ribosomal RNA
Source: RNAcentral